This 497-nucleotide ribosomal RNA is filed under the name uncultured bacterium. RNAcentral describes it as "partial 16S ribosomal RNA". It matches the Rfam family "Bacterial small subunit ribosomal RNA", at positions 28 to 507 of the family's 1533-position model. The record is from RNAcentral.
GAUGAACGCUGGCGGCGUGCCUAAUACAUGCAAGUCGAGCGAACAGACGAGGAGCUUGCUCCUCUGACGUUAGCGGCGGACGGGUGAGUAACACGUGGAUAACCUACCUAUAAGACUGGGAUAACUUCGGGAAACCGGAGCUAAUACCGGAUAAUAUAUUGAAUCGCAUGGUUCAAUAGUGAAAGACGGUUUUGCUGUCACUUAUAGAUGGAUCCGCGCCGCAUUAGCUAGUUGGUAAGGUAACAGCUUACCAAGGCAACGAUGCGUAGCCGACCUGAGAGGGUGAUCGGCCACACUGGAACUGAGGCACGGUCCAGACUCCUACGGGAGGCAGCAGUAGGGAAUCUUCCGCAAUGGGCGAAAGCCUGACGGAGCAACGCCGCGUGAGUGAUGAAGGUCUUCGGAUCGUAAAACUCUGUUAUUAGGGAAGAACAAAUGUGUAAGUAACUACGCACGUCUUGACGGUACCUAAUCAGAAAGCCACGGCUAACUACGUG